GGGCGUCAAAGGCAAGCUCUCCGAAAGGGGAUGCGCGCAAAGCCAUGGGUCUAAGGCCUGGUAGAUACAGACCGGGCUAUGGCUGCCAGGCUACCGUA
This is a non-coding RNA of Moorella thermoacetica ATCC 39073, 98 nucleotides long. Lineage: Bacteria; Bacillati; Bacillota; Clostridia; Neomoorellales; Neomoorellaceae. The record is from Rfam.